UAUCUGGUUGAUCCUGCCAGUAGUCAUAUGCUUGUCUCAAAGAUUAAGCCAUGCAAGUCUAAGUAUAAGCGUUAUACAGUGAAACUGCGAAUGGCUCAUUAAAUCAGUUAUAGUUUAUUUGAAGAUAAUACCAUUAGGAUAACCGUUGGUAAUUCUAGAGCUAAUACUUGCUUUCUAGGCUUUAUUAGAUAUGAAUCACAAUAACUUCAGAUCGAUUGAACGUCCUUCAUUCAAAUUU
RNAcentral lists this ribosomal RNA (238 nucleotides) under Magnusiomyces magnusii. RNAcentral's name for it is "partial 18S ribosomal RNA". It matches the Rfam family "Eukaryotic small subunit ribosomal RNA", at positions 1 to 241 of the family's 1831-position model. Lineage: Eukaryota; Fungi; Ascomycota; Dipodascomycetes; Dipodascales; Dipodascaceae. The record is from RNAcentral.